GACGAACGCUGGCGGCGUGCUUAACACAUGCAAGUCGAACGGAAAGGCCCUGCUUUUGUGGGGUGCUCGAGUGGCGAACGGGUGAGUAACACGUGAGUAACCUGCCCUUGACUUUGGGAUAACUUCAGGAAACUGGGGCUAAUACCGGAUAGGAGCUCCUGCUGCAUGGUGGGGGUUGGAAAGUUUCGGCGGUUGGGGAUGGACUCGCGGCUUAUCAGCUUGUUGGGGGGGUAGUGGCUUACCAAGGCUUUGACGGGUAGCCGGCCUGAGAGGGUGACCGGCCACAUUGGGACUGAGAUACGGCCCAGACUCCUACGGGAGGCAGCAGUGGGGAAUAUUGCACAAUGGGCGGAAGCCUGAUGCAGCAACGCCGCGUGCGGGAUGACGGCCUUCGAGUUGUAAACCGAUUUCGCCUGUGACGAAGCGUGAGUGACGGUAAUGGGUAAAGAAGCACCGGCUAACUACGUG
This 468-nucleotide ribosomal RNA is filed under the name uncultured bacterium. Its description in RNAcentral is "partial 16S ribosomal RNA". It matches the Rfam family "Bacterial small subunit ribosomal RNA", at positions 28 to 507 of the family's 1533-position model. The record is from RNAcentral.